UUUAUUUCCAAAUAGACUGUUAGCUUGUAUGUAUAAACAACAUACAUAUCUUGCUAAAUUAUAUGGUACCGAAGGCAAUGUGGAUGUCGUUGCCAUCACUGACCCCUUUGUUAACAUCAAGUACAUUGUCUAUGUGUUCUAGUAUGAUUCCACCAAAUAACAAGUUCAACGGCAUAGCCAAGACUGAGAACCAAAAGGUUGUUAUAAAUGAAAAACCCAUUUCCAUCUUCUAAAAGUGAGAUCCUGACAUGAAAUGGGGUAAUUCUUGUAAUGAAUUUGUUGUGGAAUCUACUGUGUCUUCAUUUUCUUGUAAAAGUCUGACUUCAUAUGAAGGGUGGAGCCAAUAGGGUCAUCAUCUUUGUCCCGUCUGCUGAUGUCCCCAUAUUUAUGAGCAUGAAUGAUGAGAAGUGUGACAACUCCCUCAAGAUUGUCAGCAAUUCCUCCUGCACUACCAAGUGCUUAGCCCUCCUGGCCAAUGUCAUCAAUAACAAUUUUGGCAUCACGGAGAGACUCAAGAUCACAAUCCAUGCCAUCACUGCCACCAAGAAGACUGGGAAGGCCUCUCUGGGAAACUGUGUUGUGACAGCCAUGAGGCUAGCCAGAACUUCAUGCCUGCCUCUACUGAUGCUUCCAAGGCUGUAGGCAAGGUCAUCUCUGAGCUGAAUGGAAAGCUCAGUGGCAUGGCCUUCUGUGUCCCCAUCCCCAGGCUGUGUCUCCAGCUUUCUAUGGACUGUCCAGAGAAAGCUGCCAAAUGUGAUGACUCCAAGAAGGUGAUGAAGCAGACAUUGGAUAUUCUCCUAAAGGGCAUCCUGGGCUACACCGAGGACCUGGUUGUCUCCUAGACUCUAACAGUGACACCUACUCUUCUACCUUCCAUGCUGGGACUGGCAUUGCCCUAACAACCACUUUGACUAGUUCAUUUCCUGGUAUGACAAUGAAUUUGGCUACAGUAGCAAGGUGGCAGACUUUAUGGACCACAUGUCCUCCAAGG
This 991-nucleotide long non-coding RNA is filed under the name Homo sapiens (human). RNAcentral describes it as "non-protein coding lnc-TTC14-10:1". Lineage: Eukaryota; Metazoa; Chordata; Mammalia; Primates; Hominidae. The record is from RNAcentral.